GUGGGGAAUCUUCCGCAAUGGACGAAAGUCUGACGGAGCAACGCCGCGUGAGUGAAGAAGGUUUUCGGAUCGUAAAGCUCUUUCGUUAGGGACGAACGUGCUCUUUGUGAAUAAUGAGGAGUAAUGACGGUACCUAAAUAAGAAGCCACGGCUAACUACGUGCCAGCAGCCGCGGUAAUACGUAGGUGGCAAGCGUUGUCCGGAAUUAUUGGGCGUAAAGCGCGCGCAGGCGGGAUAUCAAGUCUGUCUUAAAAGUGCGAGGCUCAACCUCGUGAGGGGACAGAAACUGGUAUUCUUGAGUGUCGGAGAGGAAAGUGGAGUUCCAAGUGUAGCGGUGAAAUGCGUAGAGAUUUGGAAGAACACCAGUGGCGAAGGCGACUUUCUGGACGAUGUCUGACGCUGAGGCGCGAAAGCUAGGGGAGCGAACGGGAUUAGAAACCCUUGUAGUCC
This 450-nucleotide ribosomal RNA is filed under the name uncultured bacterium. Its description in RNAcentral is "partial 16S ribosomal RNA". It matches the Rfam family "Bacterial small subunit ribosomal RNA", at positions 354 to 796 of the family's 1533-position model. The record is from RNAcentral.